RNAcentral lists this ribosomal RNA (403 nucleotides) under bacterium. Its description in RNAcentral is "partial 16S ribosomal RNA". It matches the Rfam family "Bacterial small subunit ribosomal RNA", at positions 355 to 776 of the family's 1533-position model. The record is from RNAcentral.
UGGGGAAUAUUGCACAAUGGGGGAAACCCUGAUGCAGCGACGCCGCGUGAACGAAGAAGGUAUUCGUAUCGUAAAGUUCUGUCCUAUGGGAAGAUAAUGACAGUACCAUAGAAGAAAGCUCCGGCUAAAUACGUGCCAGCAGCCGCGGUAAUACGUAUGGAGCGAGCGUUGUCCGGAAUUAUUGGGCGUAAAGGGUACGCAGGCGGUUUAAUAAGUCGAAUGUUAAAGAUCGGGGCUCAACCCCGCAAAGCAUUGGAAACUGAUAAACUUGAGUAGUGGAGAGGAAAGUGGAAUUCCUAGUGUAGUGGUGAAAUACGUAGAUAUUAGGAGGAAUACCAGUAGCGAAGGCGACUUUCUGGACACAAACUGACGCUGAGGUACGAAAGCGUGGGGAGCAAACGGG